CCUAACACAUGCAAGUCGAGCGGAUGAAGGGAGCUUGCUCCUGGAUUCAGCGGCGGACGGGUGAGUAAUGCCUAGGAAUCUGCCUGGUAGUGGGGGAUAACGUCCGGAAACGGGCGCUAAUACCGCAUACGUCCUGAGGGAGAAAGUGGGGGAUCUUCGGACCUCACGCUAUCAGAUGAGCCUAGGUCGGAUUAGCUAGUUGGUGGGGUAAAGGCCUACCAAGGCGACGAUCCGUAACUGGUCUGAGAGGAUGAUCAGUCACACUGGAACUGAGACACGGUCCAGACUCCUACGGGAGGCAGCAGUGGGGAAUAUUGGACAAUGGGCGAGAGCCUGAUCCAGCCAUGCCGCGUGUGUGAAGAAGGUCUUCGGAUUGUAAAGCACUUUAAGUUGGGAGGAAGGGCAGUAAGUUAAUACCUUGCUGUUUUGACGUUACCAACAGAAUAAGCACCGGCUAACUUCGUGCCAGCAGCCGCGGUAAUACGAAGGGUGCAAGCGUUAAUCGGAAUUACUGGGCGUAAAGCGCGCGUAGGUGGUUCAGCAAGUUGGAUGUGAAAUCCCCGGGCUCAACCUGGGAACUG
Molecule: ribosomal RNA, 581 nt
Filed under: uncultured Pseudomonas sp.
Lineage: Bacteria; Pseudomonadati; Pseudomonadota; Gammaproteobacteria; Pseudomonadales; Pseudomonadaceae
Description: bacterial SSU rRNA
Rfam family: Bacterial small subunit ribosomal RNA
Source: RNAcentral